This is a non-coding RNA of Glycine max (soybean), 82 nucleotides long. NCBI's taxonomy places the organism in Eukaryota, Viridiplantae, Streptophyta, Magnoliopsida, Fabales, Fabaceae. The record is from Rfam.
GGAUGGAAUGAUGAUUAUUGGUUUCCCUAUUGGUUUGAUUGCCUGAAUGAUGGCAUUUUGUAUUAGCUCUAUCUGACCAUUC